GAUGAACGCUGGCGGCGUGCCUAAUACAUGCAAGUCGAGCGAAUGGAUUAAGAGCUUGCUCUUAUGAAGUUAGCGGCGGACGGGUGAGUAACACGUGGGUAACCUGCCCAUAAGACUGGGAUAACUCCGGGAAACCGGGGCUAAUACCGGAUAACAUUUUGAACCGCAUGGUUCGAAAUUGAAAGGCGGCUUCGGCUGUCACUUAUGGAUGGACCCGCGUCGCAUUAGCUAGUUGGUGAGGUAACGGCUCACCAAGGCAACGAUGCGUAGCCGACCUGGGGGGGUGAUCGGCCACACUGGGACUGAGACACGGCCCAGACUCCUGCGGGGGGCAGCAGUAGGGAAUCUUCCGCAAUGGACGAAAGUCUGACGGAGCAACGCCGCGUGAGUGAUGAAGGCUUUCGGGUCGUAAAACUCUGUUGUUAGGGAAGAACAAGUGCUAGUUGAAUAAGCUGGCACCUUGACGGUACCUAACCAGAAAGCCACGGCUAACUACGUGCCAGCCGCCGCCGUAA
Molecule: ribosomal RNA, 515 nt
Filed under: uncultured bacterium
Lineage: Bacteria
Description: partial 16S ribosomal RNA
Rfam family: Bacterial small subunit ribosomal RNA
Source: RNAcentral